GGUUAAGCGACUAAGCGUACACGGUGGAUGCCCUGGCAGUCAGAGGCGAUGAAGGACGUGCUAAUCUGCGAAAAGCGUCGGUAAGGUGAUAUGAACCGUUAUAACCGGCGAUGUCCGAAUGGGGAAACCCAGUGUGAUUCGUCACACUAUCGUUAACUGAAUACAUAGGUUAACGAGGCGAACCGGGGGAACUGAAACAUCUAAGUACCCCGAGGAAAAGAAAUCAACCGAGAUUCCCCCAGUAGCGGCGAGCGAACGGGGAGCAGCCCAGAGUCUGAAUCAGCUUGUGUGUUAGUGGAACGGUCUGGAAAGUCCGACGGUACAGGGUGAUAGUCCCGUACACCAAAAUGCACAGGCUGUGAACUCGAAGAGUAGGGCGGGACACGUGGUAUCCUGUCUGAAUAUGGGGGGACCAUCCUCCAAGGCUAAAUACUCCUGACUGACCGAUAGUGAACCAGUACCGUGAGGGAAAGGCGAAAAGAACCCCGGCGAGGGGAGUGAAAAAGAACCUGAAACCGUGUACGUACAAGCAGUGGGAGCACCUUCGGGUGUGACUGCGUACCUUUUGUAUAAUGGGUCAGCGACUUAUAUUCUGUAGCAAGGUUAACCGUAUAGGGGAGCCGCAGGGAAACCGAGUCUUAACUGGGCGUUAAGUUGCAGGGUAUAGACCCGAAACCCGGUGAUCUAGCCAUGGGCAGGUUGAAGGUUGGGUAACACUAACUGGAGGACCGAACCGACUAAUGUUGAAAAAUUAGCGGAUGACUUGUGGCUGGGGGUGAAAGGCCAAUCAAACCGGGAGAUAGCUGGUUCUCCCCGAAAGCUAUUUAGGUAGCGCCUCGUGAACUCAUCUUCGGGGGUAGAGCACUGUUUCGGCUAGGGGGUCAUCCCGACUUACCAACCCGAUGCAAACUACGAAUACCGAAGAAUGUUAUCACGGGAGACACACGGCGGGUGCUAACGUCCGUCGUGAAGAGGGAAACAACCCAGACCGCCAGCUAAGGUCCCAAAGUCAUGGUUAAGUGGGAAACGAUGUGGGAAGGCACAGACAGCCAGGAUGUUGGCUUAGAAGCAGCCAUCAUUUAAAGAAAGCGUAAUAGCUCACUGGUCGAGUCGGCCUGCGCGGAAGAUGUAACGGGGCUAAACCAUGCACCGAAGCUGCGGCAGCGACACUAUGUGUUGUUGGGUAGGGGAGCGUUCUGUAAGCCUGCGAAGGUGUGCUGUGAGGCAUGCUGGAGGUAUCAGAAGUGCGAAUGCUGACAUAAGUAACGAUAAAGCGGGUGAAAAGCCCGCUCGCCGGAAGACCAAGGGUUCCUGUCCAACGUUAAUCGGGGCAGGGUGAGUCGACCCCUAAGGCGAGGCCGAAAGGCGUAGUCGAUGGGAAACAGGUUAAUAUUCCUGUACUUGGUGUUACUGCGAAGGGGGGACGGAGAAGGCUAUGUUAGCCGGGCGACGGUUGUCCCGGUUUAAGCAUGUAGGCUGAUUAUCCAGGCAAAUCCGGAUAAUCAAGGCUGAGGUGUGAUGACGAGGCACUACGGUGCUGAAGUAACAAAUGCCCUGCUUCCAGGAAAAGCCUCUAAGCAUCAGGUAACAUCAAAUCGUACCCCAAACCGACACAGGUGGUCAGGUAGAGAAUACCAAGGCGCUUGAGAGAACUCGGGUGAAGGAACUAGGCAAAAUGGUGCCGUAACUUCGGGAGAAGGCACGCUGGUGUGUAGGUGAAGUCCCUGCGGAUGGAGCUGAGACCAGUCGAAGAUACCAGCUGGCUGCAACUGUUUAUUAAAAACACAGCACUGUGCAAACACGAAAGUGGACGUAUACGGUGUGACGCCUGCCCGGUGCCGGAAGGUUAAUUGAUGGGGUUAUCCGUAAGGAGAAGCUCUUGAUCGAAGCCCCGGUAAACGGCGGCCGUAACUAUAACGGUCCUAAGGUAGCGAAAUUCCUUGUCGGGUAAGUUCCGACCUGCACGAAUGGCGUAAUGAUGGCCAGGCUGUCUCCACCCGAGACUCAGUGAAAUUGAACUCGCUGUGAAGAUGCAGUGUACCCGCGGCAAGACGGAAAGACCCCGUGAACCUUUACUAUAGCUUGACACUGAACAUUGAGCCUUGAUGUGUAGGAUAGGUGGGAGGCUUUGAAGCGUGGACGCCAGUCUGCGUGGAGCCAACCUUGAAAUACCACCCUUUAAUGUUUGAUGUUCUAACGUUGGCCCCUGACCGGGGUUGCGGACAGUGUCUGGUGGGUAGUUUGACUGGGGCGGUCUCCUCCCAAAGCGUAACGGAGGAGCACGAAGGUUAGCUAAUCCUGGUCGGACAUCAGGAGGUUAGUGCAAUGGCAUAAGCUAGCUUGACUGCGAGCGUGACGGCGCGAGCAGGUGCGAAAGCAGGUCAUAGUGAUCCGGUGGUUCUGAAUGGAAGGGCCAUCGCUCAACGGAUAAAAGGUACUCCGGGGAUAACAGGCUGAUACCGCCCAAGAGUUCAUAUCGACGGCGGUGUUUGGCACCUCGAUGUCGGCUCAUCACAUCCUGGGGCUGAAGUAGGUCCCAAGGGUAUGGCUGUUCGCCAUUUAAAGUGGUACGCGAGCUGGGUUUAGAACGUCGUGAGACAGUUCGGUCCCUAUCUGCCGUGGGCGCUGGAGAAUUGAGGGGGGCUGCUCCUAGUACGAGAGGACCGGAGUGGACGCAUCACUGGUGUUCGGGUUGUCAUGCCAAUGGCACUGCCCGGUAGCUAAAUGCGGAAGAGAUAAGUGCUGAAAGCAUCUAAGCACGAAACUUGCCCCGAGAUGAGUUCUCCCUGAGACUUUAAGUCUCCUGAAGGAACGUUGAAGACGAUGACGUUGAUAGGCCGGGUGUGUAAGCGCAGCGAUGCGUUGAGCUAACCGGUACUAAUGAACCGUGAGGCUUAACCUU
Molecule: ribosomal RNA, 2902 nt
Filed under: Klebsiella pneumoniae
Lineage: Bacteria; Pseudomonadati; Pseudomonadota; Gammaproteobacteria; Enterobacterales; Enterobacteriaceae
Description: 23S ribosomal RNA
Rfam family: Bacterial large subunit ribosomal RNA
Source: RNAcentral